GACGAACGCUGGCGGCGUGCUUAAUACAUGCAAGUCGAACGGAAAGGCCCUGCUUUUGUGUGGUUCUCGAUUGGCGAACGGGUGAGUAACACGUGAGUAACCUGCCCUUGACUUUGGGAUAACUUCAGGAAACUGGGGCUAUUACCGGAUAGGAUCUCCUGCUGCAUGGUGUGGGUUGGAAAGUGUCGGCGGUUGGGGCUGGACUGGCGGCUUACCAGCUUGUUGGGCUGGUAGUUGCUUACCAAGCCUUUGACGGAUAGCCGGCCUGAGAGGGUGAACGGCGACAUUGGGACUGAGAGACGGAGCAGACUGCUACGGGCGGCAGCAGUGGGGAGUAUGGCACAGUGGGCGGAAGCCUGAUGCAGAAACGCCGCGUGCGGGAUGACGGCUUUCGGGUUGUAAACAGCUUUCGACUGUGACGAAGCGUGAGUGACGGUAAUGGGUAAAGAAGCACCGGCUAACUACGUG
Molecule: ribosomal RNA, 468 nt
Filed under: uncultured bacterium
Lineage: Bacteria
Description: partial 16S ribosomal RNA
Rfam family: Bacterial small subunit ribosomal RNA
Source: RNAcentral